CAAAAUGUGGAAAUUGAUAUCAAGGGAGUUCGUUUUCCAACUGCUUUGAUAGUCAUCGAGUCUGCCAAGUUGGAUGUUAUUUUGGGAAUGAACUGGUUGACCCAAUAUCAAGUGUGCUUCAACUGUGCGACCCGAGAAGUCACCAUGACAAGUCAGGAAGGGCAAUUCUAUGCCUGCAGAAGUAUACCCAAAAGAGAACUGCUCUUCACUGCUGUAGCUGAAGAAUUGAAUUUAAUUCAUGUGGUUAGUGAAUUUCCCGAUGUAUUCCCCGAGGAAUUACCAGGAAUGCCGCCAAACCAAGAGCUUGAGUUUGCAAUUGAUCUUGUG
This 327-nucleotide ribosomal RNA is filed under the name Triticum aestivum (bread wheat). Its description in RNAcentral is "partial small subunit ribosomal RNA". Lineage: Eukaryota; Viridiplantae; Streptophyta; Magnoliopsida; Poales; Poaceae. The record is from RNAcentral.